UCGUUUCGUAAAGCCUCCACCGUCGAGGU
RNAcentral lists this small RNA (29 nucleotides) under Bombyx mori (domestic silkworm). RNAcentral describes it as "ovarian small RNA-7677". Lineage: Eukaryota; Metazoa; Arthropoda; Insecta; Lepidoptera; Bombycidae. The record is from RNAcentral.